UACGUAGGGUGCAAGCGUUGUCCGGAAUUAUUGGGCGUAAAGAGCUCGUAGGCGGUUUGUUGCGUCGGCUGUGAAAUCCCGAGGCUCAACCUCGGGUCUGCAGUCGAUACGAGCAAACUAGAGUGUUGCAGGGGAGACUGGAAUUCCUGGUGUAGCGGUGAAAUGCGUAGAUAUCAAGAGGAACACCUGCGGCGAAGGCGGGUUGCUGGGCCGACACUGACGCUGAGGCGCGAAAGCUAGGGGAGCGAACGGG
Molecule: ribosomal RNA, 253 nt
Filed under: uncultured bacterium
Lineage: Bacteria
Description: partial 16S ribosomal RNA
Rfam family: Bacterial small subunit ribosomal RNA
Source: RNAcentral